RNAcentral lists this ribosomal RNA (395 nucleotides) under uncultured bacterium. RNAcentral's name for it is "partial 16S ribosomal RNA". It matches the Rfam family "Bacterial small subunit ribosomal RNA", at positions 523 to 918 of the family's 1533-position model. The record is from RNAcentral.
AUACGUAGGGUGCAAGCGUUAAUCGGAAUUACUGGGCGUAAAGCGUGCGCAGGCGGUUUUGUAAGACAGUGGUGAAAUCCCCGGGCUCAACCUGGGAACUGCCAUUGUGACUGCAAGGCUGGAGUGCGGCAGAGGGGGAUGGAAUUCCGCGUGUAGCAGUGAAAUGCGUAGAUAUGCGGAGGAACACCGAUGGCGAAGGCAAUCCCCUGGGCCUGCACUGACGCUCAUGCACGAAAGCGUGGGGAGCAAACAGGAUUAGAUUCCCUGGUAGUCCACGCCCUAAACGAUGUCAACUGGUUGUUGGGGAUUUAUUUUCUCAGUAACGAAGCUAACGCGUGAAGUUGACCGCCUGGGGAGUACGGCCGCAAGGUUAAAACUCAAAGGAAUUGACGGGG